GCGUGAGUGAUGAAGGCCCUAGGGUUGUAAAGCUCUUUCGCACGCGACGAUAAUGACGGUAGCGUGACAAGAAGCCCCGGCUAACUUCGUGCCAGCAGCCGCGGUAAUACGAAGGGGGCAAGCGUUGUUCGGAAUCACUGGGCGUAAAGCGCACGUAGGCGGAUCGUUAAGUCAGGGGUGAAAUCCCGAGGCUCAACCUCGGAACUGCCUUUGAUACUGGCGAUCUUUGAGUCCGGGAGAGGUGAGUGGAAUUCCGAGUGUAGAGGUGAAAUUCGU
RNAcentral lists this ribosomal RNA (276 nucleotides) under uncultured bacterium. RNAcentral describes it as "partial 16S ribosomal RNA". It matches the Rfam family "Bacterial small subunit ribosomal RNA", at positions 399 to 691 of the family's 1533-position model. The record is from RNAcentral.